AGAGUUUGAUCAUGGCUCAGGAUGAACGCUGGCGGCGUGCCUAACACAUGCAAGUCGAACGAGAAGCUAACUUCUGAUUCCUUCGGGAUGAUGAGGUUAGCAGAAAGUGGCGAACGGGUGAGUAACGCGUGGGUAAUCUACCCUGUAAGUGGGGGAUAACCCUCCGAAAGGAGGGCUAAUACCGCAUAAGGUCUUCACUUCUUAAGAAGUAAAGAUUAAAGAUGGCCUCUAUACUAUGCUAUCGCUUCAGGAUGAGCCUGCGUCCUAUUAGUUAGUUGGUGGGGUAAUGGCCUACCAAGACCACAAUGGGUAGCCGGUCUGAGAGGAUGUACGGCCACACUGGGACUGAGAUACGGCCCAGACUCCUACGGGAGGCAGC
RNAcentral lists this ribosomal RNA (379 nucleotides) under uncultured bacterium. RNAcentral describes it as "bacterial SSU rRNA". It matches the Rfam family "Bacterial small subunit ribosomal RNA", at positions 8 to 352 of the family's 1533-position model. The record is from RNAcentral.